CCUGGAGACAGGGAAGAGGAGGUUGGGGAGGUGGGGGAAUAGCUUGCCCUCCUCCUACCACCCCGGCCUCAACCUCUUCUGAGGGGACAGACCAACUUAGACCACUGAGAACUCUACUCCUGCCCCGCUGCACAGCCAGUUCCUCAAAAGACAAGAAUUCCCAGCCCUACCCACAGCUACGGCUACUUGAGCCCACGGAGGAAGGAAUGAGGUAGGCUGGGCAGGGGGAGAAAAUCCAAGGUCACAGCCAGCCAGGCCCUUAAGAAAUCGGCUCUUCACUUUGUUCAAGUCGUGGGGCUCCCUGAGACACCCUCAAAGCUGUGUGUCCUCGCCCAGAAAGAACGCACACACUCGCACAAGACCGUGCAGGUGAUUAGUUCCGUUAGGCACAGCCACAGACCUCUGGGAUAAGAAGGCCUGCUCUGGUGGACACAGGUCAACUGAGUGGGGAAGGGUUUACUUGGCGUAACACCAGGCCCUCAAACUUGGUUUCAGGACUUUUCAAUUCAGGGCUCUCUUAAUGACGACCGUUUUAUUUUGCGACGACUUUGUGCAUGACCCACUCUGGAGACAAUUCUGCCACUGAGUCUGACGUGACCGCUUUGCACUGCAGGACCACCAGGCAGCACAUCCCUCCGUCUCAAUCGUUCCCUGGGCCCAUCUCCCUCCAGGCAUCUUGAAACCAAAAUACUCUCCAAACCUCCAACCUCCCACGUGCCCAUAGACCAGGGGUCAGCAAACUACAGCCCAUUGCCUGUCUCUGCAAAUAAAGUUUUACUGAAACAU
This is a long non-coding RNA of Felis catus (domestic cat), 786 nucleotides long. RefSeq lists it as uncharacterized. The transcript is spliced from 2 exons. The record is from RefSeq and is a predicted model, not a curated record. Lineage: Eukaryota; Metazoa; Chordata; Mammalia; Carnivora; Felidae.